CAACGACAAACCAUUACACCCCAACGAAUCAAAAAAAAAACAAGCAAAACGGCACCUGGGCAUGGCUAAACAUACUUGGCACUAUGUUUACCCCCUUUUCAGUGCCCAGGUGUCUCCAUUAUUAACUCCCCCAUAAAAGAAAACAAAAAAAAACUUAGUGAACACGGCGGUCACGAGAGGCAUUACAGUGGCCUGCCCAUCCGGGAGUGUUCAUUAUAGCUACCGCUGGCUUCCCCAACUCUAGCGCAUACUGGAAGCUAGUGGUUUUUCAUGGUUGGUGGCCACCAUGUAGGCGAAAAGGCCACUUUCUAAGGCCCUUCCACGUAAAUUUUUUUUUUGCUGUCGACUUGGGAUUUUUCGUUUACAAGGCCCGCAACAAAACUCCAGGGCUGACAAGGCCCGAAGGCAGGACUGGUGUGCGGGCUGUAUCGAACUAUGUGACGUCCGGGAUCAAGCCCAACGUGGGGAACUCUCACACCCUGAGAUUAAGCCGGGCUCUGAGUUUACUUUUAAUUUAGGGAAGUAUUUUUUUUUUUCUAUCACAUAAGUCCUUACUUGGUGUGUAUUUACAGGUCAGUCGACUGGGUAAAAAAAAAUUGGAACAGAAAUCUGGUCACUCAUGCGCGAAUAAGUCGGAAGAUUACGUGUGACGGUAUAACUUUGUCCAUCAACCUACAUAAGCGUUGGGCCGCGUUACAAAGACCGAACGGCAUCACCCUAAAUUGAUAUAACGGGCGACCAGGGACUGUAAACGCUGUGUAUGCUUUGCUUUCAUCAUCUAAUUCUAUCUGCCAAAAUGCAAACUUUAAAUCAACACUGCUGAUGUAGUAUGUCUCGUCGAUUCUGCUUAAGAUGCCCUCAAUAUUUUGGAGCGGAUACGCAUCCUUCACGGAGGUUUUUUUCGGAGAGGAGUGGUGUGUGCGGUUGCAGGCUAUUAUGGCCUUUAUGGAACUGAUGGAUCAAUCAAACCUUAACACAAAAUUAAAAUAAAAAAACAACAAUUUAAUACGUGCACUAUAACGCCUCCCACCGAAGACGUUACAGCUUUCCCAGAUCAUCUAAACGGAUACAUCUGUCCUCUGGUUAAAUCCAGAGCGGAUACCCUGUUAAUGAAUCUGUGUCACUUUUAAAUUUCAAACGGAUACUAUUCUCUACCAUCUAUCCAAGAUAAUUUGUGCGAAACCGCUUAACCUUCUGAUCGGCGGGUCACAAACUAUCUUGGUCUGUAUUUUUCAUCACAUACUUUCCAUGUAAAACACGGGCUCCAAACGUUUUUGUACAUCAAGUUCUGGCACCUGUCCAGAAUGGCUACAAAAACCCUUUGAAUUCGUCGUUCCAAACGCAAAGUAGUAAUGUUGGUCUAUUUUCUUUUACUUCUAGUGGUCUAUUUCCAAGUGUCUCGAUGGAAUACACUUCCUAACUUCUACAAACCCUAUGGUUUCUUUGGUUUGGGCGCCAUAUUGUUAUGUGUCCCUCUUAGGCAGCCUGAGAUGUCUUGAUAUCGCCGACCAGCUCUGCCGACUCCCAUUGGGGUGAGUCCCAUCCCAACAUCCGGCUCAGGAACAACAACAAUAAACUAUGGGAAUUCACCAACAAAAGAACAACACUAUAAUGAUGAACAUGAUACCAUCCAAAUCCAUAACGUCUGUUGACACACGAGCCAUUUAGCCGCCCUCCCUACCUUUGAUCAUCUCUUCCUUUUAUUGUCCUGAUGACCCCUUUUUCCGCACAAUCCCACACCACUUACCUCCCUUUUAUUCCCUCCUUAAUAACUCUUUAACACAUCCUCAUUCUUUUUCUUUCUUUAAACAUA
Long non-coding RNA from Musca domestica (house fly), 1813 nucleotides. RefSeq lists it as uncharacterized. The transcript is spliced from 3 exons. Lineage: Eukaryota; Metazoa; Arthropoda; Insecta; Diptera; Muscidae. The record is from RefSeq and is a predicted model, not a curated record.